UUCGCCUGUUUUAACAAAAACAUAGGGCUCUGCGAAGCAUCAAUGCGACGUAUAGGGUCUGACGCCUGCCCGGUGCCUGAAGGUUAAAGGGAGGAGUGAAAGCUCCGAACUGAAGCCCAGGUAAACGGCGGCCGUAACUAUAACGGUCCUAAGGUAGCGAAAUUCCUUGUCGGGUAAGUUCCGACCUGCACGAAUGGCGUAACGACUUCCCCACUGUCUCCAGCACAGGCUCAGUGAAAUUGAAUUCCCCGUGAAGAUGCGGGGUUCCCGCGGUCAGACGGAAAGACCCUAUGAACCUUUACUAUAGCUUCGCCUUGGCGUUAGCGACCGUAUGUGUAGGAUAGGUGGGAGGCUAUGAAGCCGGGGCGCCAGCUCUGGUGGAGCCAUCCUUGAAAUACCACCCUUACUGUCGUUGACGUCUAACCGAGGGCCGUUAUCCGGUCCCGGGACAUGGCGUGGUGGGUAGUUUGACUGGGGCGGUCGCCUCCCAAAGUGUAACGGAGGCGCGCGAUGGUUAGCUCAGACCGGUCGGAAAUCGGUCGUCGAGUGCAAUGGCAUAAGCUAGCCUGACUGCGAGACUGACAAGUCGAGCAGAGACGAAAGUCGGCCAUAGUGAUCCGGUGGUCCCGCGUGGAAGGGCCAUCGCUCAACGGAUAAAAGGUACUCUAGGGAUAACAGGCUGAUUUUGCCCAAGAGUCCAUAUCGACGGCAAAGUUUGGCACCUCGAUGUCGGCUCAUCACAUCCUGGGGCUCACCGUACCAAAGUCCGGCGGGAAUAUUUGGUUUUAAAAAAUG
Molecule: ribosomal RNA, 795 nt
Filed under: Brevundimonas diminuta
Lineage: Bacteria; Pseudomonadati; Pseudomonadota; Alphaproteobacteria; Caulobacterales; Caulobacteraceae
Description: bacterial LSU rRNA
Rfam family: Bacterial large subunit ribosomal RNA
Source: RNAcentral